AAAAAUAUGUCUAGUGUAGUUUUAUUUCUUUUGUAGGUAGUGUGUGCAUCCACCUAUGCCUCAUCAAGCUCACAACUAGGGUUUGAGACCCUCAGUGCAAGGAAUCAAUAAAAGAAAAUGUCCACAUUGGUUCAAGGCAUCAUAUAUGGAUCCCCUUGUUCUUUAUUUGUCAUUUUGAUCAAGAAUUCAUCAAGAGUUUGAAGCUUGGAAGCCUUAAUUCAUCUGUGUAUCUUGUGUGCCUUCCUCAAUAAGUUUCUUCAACAUUUGGUCAAGGAUAUUAUGUGAUACUUCAUUGAAUUUAAUCAUAAGCAUAUAUGAUCCUCCGUGAUCCCCAAAGAGCAAAGGAAAUUCAAG
This 354-nucleotide long non-coding RNA is filed under the name Lathyrus oleraceus (garden pea). RNAcentral's name for it is "Pisum sativum (pea) long non-coding RNA (PSAT_LNC030924)". Lineage: Eukaryota; Viridiplantae; Streptophyta; Magnoliopsida; Fabales; Fabaceae. The record is from RNAcentral.